GCCACUGUAGCUCAGUCGGUAGAGCAGCUGAUUCGUAAUCAGCAGGUCGGGGGAUCGAUGCCCUCCAGUGGCU
RNAcentral lists this transfer RNA (73 nucleotides) under Thermoplasma sp. Kam2015. RNAcentral describes it as "tRNA-Thr". It matches the Rfam family "tRNA". Rfam says of the family: Transfer RNA (tRNA) molecules are approximately 80 nucleotides in length. The record is from RNAcentral. Lineage: Archaea; Methanobacteriati; Thermoplasmatota; Thermoplasmata; Thermoplasmatales; Thermoplasmataceae.